ACGCUAGCGGCAGGCUUCAUACAUGCAAGUCGAGGGGCAGCAUAAAUUACUUGUAAUUUGAUGGCGACCGGCGAACGGGUGCGUAACGCGUAUGCAACUUACCUUUUACUAGAGAAUAGCCAAGAGAAAUUUUGAUUAAUGCUCUAUGUUCUUAUUUACUCGCAUGAGUAAAUAAGCAAAGCUCCGGCGGUAAAAGAUGGGCAUGCGUCCUAUUAGCUUGUAGGUGAGGUAAUGGCUCACCUAAGCUCCGAUAGGUAGGGGUCCUGAGAGGGAGAUCCCCCACACUGGUACUGAGACACGGACCAGACUUCUACGGAAGGCAGCAGUAAGGAAUAUUGGACAAUGGAGGCAACUCUGAUCCAGCCAUGCCGCGUGAAGGAAGACGGCC
RNAcentral lists this ribosomal RNA (388 nucleotides) under uncultured bacterium. RNAcentral's name for it is "bacterial SSU rRNA". It matches the Rfam family "Bacterial small subunit ribosomal RNA", at positions 33 to 416 of the family's 1533-position model. The record is from RNAcentral.